ACGAAAGCAUUGAAGAGAAGUAGUAUGCUUGAAAAGGUCUGACAGCGAGCCGUGAUUGGUGAAAGACGGUAAGAUACUUCUUGCAGAACGUGUCUUGGAGUGAAUAUAUGAAGCAAUGAAUAUAUUCCGCAGCCAGCGUUAUCGGUAAGUGCCCUAUGCAGGGAAGUAAGGUGGUACCGCGAUCCAUUCGUCCUUUAU
Molecule: non-coding RNA, 198 nt
Filed under: Erysipelotrichaceae bacterium
Lineage: Bacteria; Bacillati; Bacillota; Erysipelotrichia; Erysipelotrichales; Erysipelotrichaceae
Description: T-box sequence
Rfam family: T-box leader
About the family: Uncharged tRNA acts as the effector for transcription antitermination of genes in the T-box leader family. T-boxes are found upstream of many aminoacyl-tRNA synthetase genes and some amino acid biosynthetic genes usually in Gram-positive bacteria. The anticodon of a specific tRNA base pairs to a specifier sequence within the T-box motif, and the NCCA acceptor tail of the tRNA base pairs to a conserved bulge in the T-box antiterminator hairpin.
Source: RNAcentral